GACGAACGCUGGCGGCGUGCUUAACACAUGCAAGUCGAACGGAAAGGCCCUGCUUUUGUGGGGUGCUCGAGUGGCGAACGGGUGAGUAACACGUGAGUAACCUGCCCUUGACUUUGGGAUAACUUCAGGAAACUGGGGCUAAUACCGGAUAGGAGCUCCUGCUGCAUGGUGGGGGUUGGAAAGUUUCGGCGGUUGGGGAUGGACUCGCGGCUUAUCAGCUUGUUGGUGGGGUAGUGGCUUACCAAGGCUUUGACGGGUAGCCGGCCUGAGAGGGUGACCGGCCACAUUGGGACUGAGAUACGGCCCAGACUCCUACGGGAGGCAGCAGUGGGGAAUAUUGCACAAUGGGCGGAAGCCUGAUGCAGCAACGCCGCGUGCGGGAUGACGGCCUUCGGGUUGUAAACCGCUUUCGCCUGUGACGAAGCGUGAGUGACGGUAAUGGGUAAAGAAGCACCGGCUAACUACGUGCCAGCAGCCGCGGUGAUACGUAGGGUGCGAGCGUUGUCCGGAUUUAUUGGGCGUAAAGGGCUCGUAGGUGGUUGAUCGCGUCGGAAGUGUAAUCUUGGGGCUUAACCCUGAGCGUGCUUUCGAUACGGGUUGACUUGAGGAAGGUAGGGGAGAAUGGAAUUCCUGGUGGAGCGGUGGAAUGCGCAGAUAUCAGGAGGAACACCAGUGGCGAAGGCGGUUCUCUGGGCCUUUCCUGACGCUGAGGAGCGAAAGCGUGGGGAGCGAACAGGCUUAGAUACCCUGGUAGUCCACGCUGUAAACGGUGGGUACUAGGUGUGGGGUCCAUUCCACGGGUUCCGUGCCGUAGCUAACGCUUUAAGUACCCCGCCUGGGGAGUACGGCCGCAAGGCUAAAACUCAAAGGAAUUGACGGGGCCCCGCACAAGCGGCGGAGCAUGCGGAUUAAUUCGAUGCAACGCGUAGAACCUUACCCGGGUUUGACAUGGAUCGGGAGUGCUCAGAGAUGGGUGUGCCUCUUUUGGGGUCGGUUCACAGGUGGUGCAUGGCUGUCGUCAGCUCGUGUCGUGAGAUGCUGGGUUAAGUCCCGCAACGAGCGCAACCCUUGUUCACUGUUGCCAGCACGUUAUGGUGGGGACUCAGUGGAGACCGCCGGGGUCAACUCGGAGGAAGGUGGGGAUGACGUCAAGUCAUCAUGCCCCUUAUGUCCAGGGCUUCACGCAUGCCACAAUGGCUGGUACAGAGAGUGGCGAGCCUGUGAGGGUGAGCGAAUCUCGGAAAGCCGGUCUCAGUUCGGAUUGGGGUCUGCAACUCGACCUCAUGAAGUCGGAGUCGCUAGUAAUCGCAGAUCAGCAACGCUGCGGUGAAUACGUUCCCGGG
RNAcentral lists this ribosomal RNA (1343 nucleotides) under uncultured bacterium. RNAcentral describes it as "16S ribosomal RNA". It matches the Rfam family "Bacterial small subunit ribosomal RNA", at positions 28 to 1378 of the family's 1533-position model. The record is from RNAcentral.